RNAcentral lists this ribosomal RNA (253 nucleotides) under uncultured bacterium. Its description in RNAcentral is "partial 16S ribosomal RNA". It matches the Rfam family "Bacterial small subunit ribosomal RNA", at positions 524 to 776 of the family's 1533-position model. The record is from RNAcentral.
UACGAAGGUCCCAAGCGUUGUUCGGAAUCACUGGGCGUAAAGGGAGCGUAGGCGGCGUGGUAAGUCAGAUGUGAAAUCCCCGGGCUCAACCCGGGAACUGCGUCCGAUACUGGCAGGCUUGAAUCCGGGAGAGGGAUGCGAAAUUCCAGGUGUAGCGGUGAAAUGCGUAGAUAUCGGAAGGAACAUCAGUGGCGAAGGCGACUUCCUGGACCAAUACUGACGCUCAGGUGCGAAAGCGUGGGGAGCAAACAGG